Molecule: ribosomal RNA, 1061 nt
Filed under: Ornithobacterium sp. 856CR
Lineage: Bacteria; Pseudomonadati; Bacteroidota; Flavobacteriia; Flavobacteriales; Weeksellaceae
Description: bacterial SSU rRNA
Rfam family: Bacterial small subunit ribosomal RNA
Source: RNAcentral
GCAAGUCGAGGGAGAAUUAAUAUUCGGAUUAAGGAAACCGGCGCACGGGUGCGUAACGCGUAUGCAACUUGCCCUUAUCAGGAGGAUAGCCCGGGGAAACUCGGAUUAAUACUCCAUAAGAUAUUGAUUGGCAUCGAUUAAAAUUGAAAGAUUUAUUGGAUAAGGAUAGGCAUGCGUCAGAUUAGUUAGUUGGUAGUGUAACGGACUACCAAGGCGAUGAUCUGUAGGGGGCCUGAGAGGGUGAAGGCCCACACUGGUACUGAGACACGGACCAGACUCCUACGGGAGGCAGCAGUGAGGAAUAUUGGACAAUGGAGGGAACUCUGAUUCAGCCAUCCCGCGUGCAGGAAGACGGCCCUAUGCCGUUGUAAACUGCAAUUGUAUGGGGAUAUAUCUACCUACGUGUAGGUAGUUGUUGGUACCAUACGAAUAAGCAUCGGCUAACUCCGUGCCAGCAGCCGCGGUUUUACGGAGGAUGCAAGCGUUAUCCGGAUUCAUUGGGUAUAAAGGGUCCGUAGGCGGGCUGAUAAGUCAGUGGUGAAAUUUUGUCGCUCAACGAUAAUUACUGCCAUUGAUACUGUUAGUCUUGAGUGAUAUUGAAGUAGCUGGAAUGUGUAGUGUAGCGGUGAAAUGCAUAGAUAUUACACAGAACACCGAUUGCGAAGGCAGGUUACUAAGUAUUAACUGACGCUGAAGGACGAAAGCGUGGGGAGCGAUCAGGAUUAGAUACCCUGGUAGUCCACGCAGUAAACGAUGCUAACUCGUUUUCGGGGAGUGAUCUUCGGAGACCAAGCGAAAGUGAUAAGUUAGGCACCUGGGGAGUACGUUCGCAAGAAUGAAACUCAAAGGAAUUGACGGGGGCCCGCACAAGCGGUGGAGCAUGUGGUUUAAUUCGAUGAUACGCGAGGAACCUUACCAAGGCUUAAAUGCAUAAUGACAGGAGUGGAAACACUUAAUUCUUCGGACAGAAUGCAAGGUGCUGCAUGGCUGUCGUCAGCUCGUGCCGUGAGGUGUUAGGUUAAGUCCUGCAACGAGCGCAACCCCUAUCAUUAGUUGCCAGC